RNAcentral lists this ribosomal RNA (1253 nucleotides) under Acinetobacter pittii. Its description in RNAcentral is "bacterial SSU rRNA". It matches the Rfam family "Bacterial small subunit ribosomal RNA", at positions 25 to 1272 of the family's 1533-position model. Lineage: Bacteria; Pseudomonadati; Pseudomonadota; Gammaproteobacteria; Moraxellales; Moraxellaceae. The record is from RNAcentral.
CAGAUUGAACGCUGGCGGCAGGCUUAACACAUGCAAGUCGAGCGGAGAGAGGUAGCUUGCUACUGAUCUUAGCGGCGGACGGGUGAGUAAUGCUUAGGAAUCUGCCUAUUAGUGGGGGACAACAUUUCGAAAGGAAUGCUAAUACCGCAUACGUCCUACGGGAGAAAGCAGGGGAUCUUCGGACCUUGCGCUAAUAGAUGAGCCUAAGUCGGAUUAGCUAGUUGGUGGGGUAAAGGCCUACCAAGGCGACGAUCUGUAGCGGGUCUGAGAGGAUGAUCCGCCACACUGGGACUGAGACACGGCCCAGACUCCUACGGGAGGCAGCAGUGGGGAAUAUUGGACAAUGGGCGCAAGCCUGAUCCAGCCAUGCCGCGUGUGUGAAGAAGGCCUUAUGGUUGUAAAGCACUUUAAGCGAGGAGGAGGCUACUUUAGUUAAUACCUAGAGAUAGUGGACGUUACUCGCAGAAUAAGCACCGGCUAACUCUGUGCCAGCAGCCGCGGUAAUACAGAGGGUGCAAGCGUUAAUCGGAUUUACUGGGCGUAAAGCGCGCGUAGGCGGCUAAUUAAGUCAAAUGUGAAAUCCCCGAGCUUAACUUGGGAAUUGCAUUCGAUACUGGUUAGCUAGAGUGUGGGAGAGGAUGGUAGAAUUCCAGGUGUAGCGGUGAAAUGCGUAGAGAUCUGGAGGAAUACCGAUGGCGAAGGCAGCCAUCUGGCCUAACACUGACGCUGAGGUGCGAAAGCAUGGGGAGCAAACAGGAUUAGAUACCCUGGUAGUCCAUGCCGUAAACGAUGUCUACUAGCCGUUGGGGCCUUUGAGGCUUUAGUGGCGCAGCUAACGCGAUAAGUAGACCGCCUGGGGAGUACGGUCGCAAGACUAAAACUCAAAUGAAUUGACGGGGGCCCGCACAAGCGGUGGAGCAUGUGGUUUAAUUCGAUGCAACGCGAAGAACCUUACCUGGCCUUGACAUAGUAAGAACUUUCCAGAGAUGGAUUGGUGCCUUCGGGAACUUACAUACAGGUGCUGCAUGGCUGUCGUCAGCUCGUGUCGUGAGAUGUUGGGUUAAGUCCCGCAACGAGCGCAACCCUUUUCCUUAUUUGCCAGCGAGUAAUGUCGGGAACUUUAAGGAUACUGCCAGUGACAAACUGGAGGAAGGCGGGGACGACGUCAAGUCAUCAUGGCCCUUACGGCCAGGGCUACACACGUGCUACAAUGGUCGGUACAAAGGGUUGCUACCUAGCGAUAGGAUGCUAAU